RNAcentral lists this ribosomal RNA (460 nucleotides) under uncultured bacterium. RNAcentral describes it as "partial 16S ribosomal RNA". It matches the Rfam family "Bacterial small subunit ribosomal RNA", at positions 338 to 795 of the family's 1533-position model. The record is from RNAcentral.
CCUACGGGUGGCAGCAGUGAGGAAUAUUGGUCAAUGGGCGUAAGCCUGAACCAGCCAAGUAGCGUGCAGGAUGACGGCCCUACGGGUUGUAAACUGCUUUUAUACGGGGAUAACAUGCCUUACGUGUGGGGUUUUGCAGGUACCGUAUGAAUAAGGACCGGCUAAUUCCGUGCCAGCAGCCGCGGUAAUACGGAAGGUCCGGGCGUUAUCCGGAUUUAUUGGGUUUAAAGGGAGCGUAGGCCGCAUGUUAAGCGUGCUGUGAAAUGUCGGGGCUCAACCCGGGCCUUGCAGCGCGAACUGGCUUGCUUGAGUCCGCGGAAGGCAGGCGGAAUUCGUGGUGUAGCGGUGAAAUGCUUAGAUAUGACGAAGAACCCCGAUUGCGAAGGCAGCUUGCGGCAGCGGAACUGACGCUGAUGCUCGAAAGCGCGGGUAUCGAACAGGAUUAGAUACCCGGGUAGUC